GCACGUUCCUCACGCCACGCUCACCGCCGCACACGCCGUCACCGUUCACUUCAUCGUGCCCACGCUCGUCACGGAGUCGGGAAAGGAAACGGUGACGCCGGUGAGUUCAAUAUUCCGAGUGAUGAGUGAGCUGCAGAGGGACGGAUUCGUGGAAGACUUUACGCUCAACCAGACGUCGCUCGAACAGAUGUUCCUAAAAGGAUCGGCCGAUAUCGACGCAUUUACUCCAGAAUCGGAAACAGCUGCUGCCCCCCACCUCCGCUACAGAAGAAGCAGCGACGAGCUCAGCACAGUCACUGCUCUUUGAGAAUUAUUAGAAAUUAACUCUUUUGCAUAUCAUGUCGUUAAUACUUUAACCCUCUUUGGCUGAACCACGGCUUUGAAAAAGUAAUGAAGACUGCAUCAGAUGUAUGAAUUAUCAUAGGUAUACUAAGGGCACCGGUUCCGACUCCUCAAAUAAAAAGAUAAUAUACAUUUUAAUUAGAAUUUAUUAUAUGUAAUAUGUAUCCAAUAUUGCAUUGUGAGACUCGGUUCCACCAAACGGUAUUAAAUCAAAUUUACUAUUCCGUCCCUAAUUUAUCCUUUAAUAAUAGUCUAUUAUAAUAGUAUGACAAACGUAAUAAUAACAAUCAUAUACAUGACAAUGUUCCUAGGAUUAAUUUUAUUUAGAUUUAGAUUUAAUUAAUAUCUAAAGGGUUAUUUGUAACAUUGCGUAGUUCCUAAGUGACUUCAAUGCUGUGAUAAAAUAUAAAAUAAAUAAAAUGGU
Molecule: long non-coding RNA, 766 nt
Organism: Pieris napi
Lineage: Eukaryota; Metazoa; Arthropoda; Insecta; Lepidoptera; Pieridae
Exons: 3
Source: RefSeq, a predicted model, not a curated record